CUUUGACAAAAGAAGAACAUACUGAAAUCAUUCUCAUGGCUGGAUCAGGAAGCUAUCGCAAGGUUGUGAAAGAGUUUAACAGGAAACAUGGUGUGCUUUACUGGAAAUCUGGAAACACAACAACAAAUCAAACACUGCGAUUCAUCUAAAGCGCCACAGCAAAACCAAGAACGCAUCAGCAAAAGUAAAAACAGAAAAUCAAAAGCCAGCAAAUCAGAUAACACAGCAGCAAGUUGGAUGGAGUAUUACACUUACAGCUUUGUUCACCAGGGAGGACUCCCAAUCCUACACUCAGAUAACACCUUCUCACACCCUUAUGUGGUCACAACCCACACUGUAUUAUCAGCAGACGCCAUAUAGUUCAAGAUGUUCACACUGAUAAGUACUGAAUGUCAAAGACAGCAUAACGACCAUCUCUGGCUUUUUUACAACAAAAUACACAAUUUUACCAUAAUAGUUUGGUCAGUCUUGUGGUUACAAUCAAUAAUUAUUGAGUUCUGUGAAAGUUUUUAACAGAGCCUAGGGUCCAUGUGAUCAAAAUAUGAUGUUGAGAGGUAAUUUUAUGUCCAAGCAGUUUGGUUGGAUGUAAAUUGCUUAUGUAGAACCAUAGUAGUAUGGAUUUUUAGACUAAUGAAUUUCUCAAGUGUAGAAUUAUUAUUUAAAAUCCAAGUUUGCUCUUGCUUCUCCAGCAUUUAGAGAAUUUGAUUGAGAAGUGAUUGUGCAGUGCUAGUAAAGAAAAGUGUUUUUAACCAAUCUGCACUGCGAAUCACACAAGUGAGCUGAACUUCCUAGUUAUUUAAGAGAUUUGAAAACCAUUGGUUUAUUCUACAAAAAAAAUUAUAUAAUAAAAAUGCUGGAAAAUUAGAAGUGACAAUAUGAUGUUUAAUUAUAUAGCAUGUUUAUAAUGCACAAAUAAAUUGGGUCAUUACCGUGGUGUGUGAUGUGAUUUUAGUGUGUUUAGUAUAUUUUUUUUCCUAUUUGUUCUUUUUUUAAAUGAAACAUCAAUCUAUCAAGGUACAGCAGAUGUUGAUAAUACAGAUAUCACUAAUACAGAUGUUGAUUAAUGUGUAUUGUUCCUAAAGGAAGAAAGAAAACUGCUGUUUCUGCACCAUAGCUAAUAGUUAUGAUGGAUUUCAUUGGAACACUUUACCUCUGUCCUAUGUGUUAUUUAAUUAUUCAUCUUUUAUAAGCGAUUAGGAGAGGCUGCUACCACAUCUGGCAGCUCUGCCAGGUGCUCGUGCCCACAGGACGCUCUGGAAUGGAGGAAACCUUCCCCAGCCUGCCAGCUCCACCUGAGGCUUUGGACCUGGUUCAGCACAGAGCCCCAGCCAUAAACAAACUCUCAUUUACCACUUUAAUCGCCAGACCUGGUGUUUUGAGUUUUACAUAAUGGGUUUAAGUAACGCUUCUUGUUUUCUGCACCAUUUAAGUGAAAGCCAAGCAGCGCUCCCAGAGAACGGCAGCAGGCUUAGGCAUGAAUGGAUGUUCUCCACAUUCCUGCCAUUAUGACGAUGCUGCACUUUGGAUGGUGACGAGCGUGAAUCUUUAAGGCUGUGGUAGACCAGAAGGAAGGAGGAGGGAAUGGGAAAGAUGAAUGGCCAGUGCAGCUAAAAGGCAUUUGCUUUUUCUCUGGCCUUCUUUCUCCCAGCUGUUUUUCAUUGCUCCUGUCAGAGAUGUCGUUUGUGUUUGAGGUUGAAGGCUGUGGGGGGGACGGCAGUCUCGCCUCAGCCCUGAUGGCUUUAGCUGCUGCUCCACUAGCUCUCUAGGCAUUGUAAAUGUCCAUCAGGAUAGGCUAUUAAAAGUUGUACAAGUCACUGUUCUUUGUGUUUCGACCACUUGACACAACUCGAUGCAAAGAACGUCAAGCGGAGCCACAUGCUUACGGCUUCUCUGGACAUUACAACUUACAUCAAACAAGGUGAAAGUGGCAGAUGGAAAAACAGGAGCCUAAUAAUGUACAGUAGCUAACCUGGCUUGUUAUGAUAGCUAAUUAACUAUAUUAAUUAACAACAUUAAUAGUCAUUACAUAGUUAAUCCAAUUAUUUGGCACUGUUUGAAAUCUGCACUUAUGCAAAAAGAUUUCUAGGGUCAACAUUGAAAUUAUUUAUUGCAAUUCUUCAGGUAGCCUUUUCUUAUUCACUGUAAUCUUAUAUUUAAAAUUAUAUUAUAAAUAAAUGAAAUUGAUCAACAACCAGUUGGGUGAGAUUUGAUUAUUUGGCAGAGUUGACUAUUUUCCCCAAAAACAGCACAUCCUGAAAUGCUUUAUGUCUCUUAUACCAUGGCAAUCUGCCAA
Molecule: long non-coding RNA, 2293 nt
Organism: Ictalurus furcatus (blue catfish)
Lineage: Eukaryota; Metazoa; Chordata; Actinopteri; Siluriformes; Ictaluridae
Exons: 3
Source: RefSeq, a predicted model, not a curated record